This is a non-coding RNA of Oryctolagus cuniculus (rabbit), 666 nucleotides long. The record is from RefSeq and is a predicted model, not a curated record. NCBI's taxonomy places the organism in Eukaryota, Metazoa, Chordata, Mammalia, Lagomorpha, Leporidae.
CCCGCCCCAGGGGCCAUGGUGGGGGGGGGGUGUCAGAAAUGGAGGAAGGGGCUGCAAGUCCGGGAUUGGGAUAGGCGCUCAGCCCCCAGCACCUUCCCCUCCCACGGCUGGCCGCGGGGCAGUGGGCUUCCCCGGGCCCCAGGAGCGCUCCUGCUUUGUGCUGAUCUAAGUCACUUAUGCUAUCUGAAUAUUUUUAUUGUUUUUUCCAAGAGGGCUACAAAGGACAAACUGAAGGAUCUGACAUCAACGUACCGCGGCCCUGGACUCCCGAUCAAUCCUCUCCUGCACCUGCCAUUCGCUGAGGGCCGUUCCAAGCCUGGUUUCUGCCAAAAGCAAACCCCGGAGAUGAGGAGAUCAAAGGUUCAAGGCCUCUGUAUGGCGUUCCCAUGGAAGCCCAAGUGACUCCCGCCUCCAACGUCUGUCUGUCCCUUCUGUCCGCGGAAACCUCAGUGUGGCCAAUCUGAUGGGGAGUAAAGUGAAGUCAUCAUGCCAGUUCCUCUGCCCAUGACCUGGGGAUGACCCAAGGGGACACGGGGGCCUGUGUAGAGACAAUGGGACCAGCAGGAUGGAGACGGAAAGCAAUAGGGCCUCACUACCACACACAAACUUGACAUGUUCUAUUGUAACCCUCCCACGUAGGCGUUAUUUCCAGCUGCGGAGACUGAG